CCGACGAUAAGUUCGAACCCUGCUCCAACGACAUUGCCAUCGCCACGCCGGCCGGUGGCCGCGCCUCCUCCAAAUCCGAUCCUGGCCAGGCACCUUCACCCCGCCCACCCGCUCGCCGACCGCGUCUGCUGACUCUUCGCCCUGCCGAUCGAGCCCUAGGCAUGCCGCUUGCCGACGCACAAGAGGGAGAUGCGUCAGGAUCAAGGAAGACUCGGUCGGGUGCGAGGUGGCGGCCGGGGCGGCGGUCUUCGGAGUCGCUGGAAUCCGAAUCUACUGCUCUGCACUUCCGCCGCCUCCGCGGCAGCAAGCGGGCCAAGAGGGCGAGCUCCACCGCCGCCCCCGUGAUUGUGACCACAACCCAUUCAAUGGCGGCGGGCCCGUGGCUGCGAUCCACUAAGGGGAUGAGGAGUGAUGCGGCCGCGAAGGAGCGGCCGGAGGGGUCGAAGAGAAGAAAAAGGAAUAGGGCCGAUCGCUGUAAGGAUGAGGAGGGGUGGGAGGCGAAGAAGAGGAAUUUGGGGCCGGAAGCAAGGGACGAGGAGGAGGAGGUCUCGUCUGCACCCAGCUCUCCACUCUGCGUGCCCUACAUCCCCCAGGAAGUUAUUGGGCGUGAUUGCAACGGCCUGGAGAUCUACAAACCUAUCGACUCGGAGACAUUGAGGGCAUAUCGGCAGAGAGCCGCAAAAUACGAUGAGAAAACAGCUCGCAUAAUGAAACUGCCCACGCUUGAUUCGACUGUAUCUAGCAAGGGCCCUGACGACUUGGAGUUGCUUCAGGUCCAUGAAUCUGCUGCUACAGAAACAGUCCUUCGUGCCGGAAAGUUUGUUUUGGGCCUUUCAUCCUCAGUUGGUGGUAAGCCGUUGGCUCAGUGCACAGGUUUCUUGAUUGAUUGGGAUCAGAAGGACAAGAGGGGCACUAUUCUGACAUCCGCGCAUCUGAUUAUCUCAAAAGCAUCCUUAGACAGCUGGUUGUGCAAAGAUGAGUAUGUUCCUAACGCUCAGGUCAUCAUUCACUUGCCAGAUAAGACCACUGCAGAUGGCAAACUGUGCUACUACCAUAAACAUUACAAUCUUGCAUUAUUUAGCAUUAAGAAAGUGAAUCUGCCUGUUCAUCUCCCUUUGUACGAUGACACUGUGAAACAUGGUCAAGAGGUCUUCAUGCUUGGAAGGAAUGAAAAUUCAAAUAUAAGGAUUACCUAUGGUAGGGUGCAGUAUUUGAAUCCAAACUUGUAUGAGCGAUACCACUUAUUGUACACUUCUGGUGCAGGUGCAGACCCACAGUGCGGCACCGGAGGGCCAGUCCUUGAUUUUGACGGAAAGGUUGUUGGGAUGUCCACGCCUGACAGGGAAGGGUCUUUUGUACCUUCUUCCAUUAUACUCAAGUGGUUGCAUUUAUGGAGAAAAUAUGGAUGUGUUCCUCGACCCCACCUUGGGUUGAAGUUUUGUGCCAUCAAAUUUCUGAAACCUGCUCAUGUAGAGAGGAUAUUGCUGGACUGUGGCAUUGAUGGGGGGCUUAUUGUUCAAGAGGUAUCUAAUGGAUCUUGUGCUGAGAAACAUGGAAUCAGAGUUGGUGAUGUUGUCGAAUGUUUGAAUGGAGAGCAUAAUUCUUCUCCACUUGAGUUGGACAAUAUGUUACUACGCUUGGUUGAGCAACAUCUUGACAGAGGAAAUCACAAUGAUUCCAAAAUGGAUGUAGAAGUUGGCAUAUUUCGCACACGCAAAGGUGUGCGACGUGUCAUAAAGAUGACAUUGAAUGUAACUGAGGAGGGAGAAGUUGUUGUAGAAGGUUCUUAUCCUGUUACUAUUGGAGAAGGGGUUUCUGCUUUGGUGUCACCUGAGCAAUUGGAUCCAGGUUCUUAUCGUCUGGAGAAAGCUUAAGUUCGCCACUCGACCAAGCUGCUCUGGGCAAGUGACCUCGUUGUUUUCUUCACGAAUUGUCAUGCUAAAAGAAGUUCGCAUGCCUGUUGUUGAGCAGGGUCGAGAAAGGCACGUGGGUCUUUCAUUCAACUCGCAGAUAGAUACAUUCUCACCAUAUACUAGCGGCUGCCUCCGGAUCCUUUUGCUGUGGAUGUUAAUAUCUUUUCUUAUCGUUUUUGAUGAUCAUGCGAAUCAUGUUCGUGGACAGCGUUCUACUUACUGUUAGCUAGGAGUAAGUGAUAUUGAGUUAUUGACAUUGUUAUACUUGGUAAUGGAAAAAUUCUUGUGAAAAUCCUGUUCCUUCAUGUAUAAUAUUGGGAAUAUAUCAUUCCCCUUUCCCACAGUGAUCACAAAUCAUAAGGUGGAACUUCAUAUUUGCAA
This is an RNA transcript of Phragmites australis (common reed), 2294 nucleotides long. RefSeq lists it as uncharacterized. The record is from RefSeq and is a predicted model, not a curated record. NCBI's taxonomy places the organism in Eukaryota, Viridiplantae, Streptophyta, Magnoliopsida, Poales, Poaceae. The transcript is spliced from 12 exons.